Molecule: ribosomal RNA, 253 nt
Filed under: uncultured bacterium
Lineage: Bacteria
Description: partial 16S ribosomal RNA
Rfam family: Bacterial small subunit ribosomal RNA
Source: RNAcentral
UACGUAGGGGGCAAGCGUUGUUCGGAAUUACUGGGCGUAAAGGGCGCGUAGGCGGCACGGCGAGUCAGGAGUGAAAGCCCUGGGCUCAACCCGGGAACUGCUUUUGAAACUGCCGAGCUAGAGUGCGGAAGGGGCAACUGGAAUUCCCAGUGUAGCGGUGAAAUGCGUAGAUAUUGGGAAGAACACCUGAGGCGAAGGCGGGUUGCUGGGCCGACACUGACGCUGAUGCGCGAAAGCCAGGGGAGCGAACGGG